This 434-nucleotide ribosomal RNA is filed under the name uncultured archaeon. RNAcentral describes it as "bacterial SSU rRNA". It matches the Rfam family "Archaeal small subunit ribosomal RNA", at positions 19 to 458 of the family's 1478-position model. The record is from RNAcentral.
GGACCUGACUGCUAUCGGAUUGAUACUAAGCCAUGCGAGUCAUUGUAGCAAUACAAGGCAUACGGCUCAGUAACGCGUAGUCAACCUAACCUAUGGACGGGAAUAACCUCGGGAAACUGAGAAUAAUGCCCGAUAGAACAUUAUGCCUGGAAUGGUUUAUGUUCCAAAUGAUUUAUCGCCGUAGGAUGGGACUGCGGCCCAUCAGUUUGUUGGUGAGGUAAUGGCCCACCAAGACUAUUACAGGUACGGGCUCUGAGAGGAGUAGCCCGGAGAUGGGUACUGAGACACGGACCCAGGCCCUAUGGGGCGCAGCAGGCGAGAAAACUUUGCAAUGUGCGAAAGCACGACAAGGUUAAUCCGAGUGGUUUCUGCUAAAGAAACCUUUUGUCAGUCCUAGAAACACUGAUGAAUAAGGGGUGGGCAAGUUCUGGUGU